GAUGAACGCUGGCGGCGUGCUUAACACAUGCAAGUCGAGCGAACGGACGAGAAUCUUGCUUCUCUGAUGUUAGCGGCGGACGGGUGAGUAACACGUGGAUAACCUACCUAUAAGACUGGGAUAACUUCGGGAAACCGGAGCUAAUACCGUAUAAUAUUUUGAACCGCAUGGUUCAAAAGUGAAAGACGGUCUUGCUGUCUCUUAUAGAUGGAUCCGCGCUGCAUUAGCUAGUUGGUAAGGUAACGGCUUACCAAGGCAACGAUGCAUAGCCGACCUGAGAGAGUGAUCGGCCGCACUGGAACUGAGACACGGUCCAGACUCCUACGGGAGGCAGCAGUAGGGAAUCUUCCGCAAUGGGCGAAAGCCUGACGGAGCAACGCCGCGUGAGUGAUGAAGGUCUUCGGAUCGUAAAACUCUGUUAUUAGGGAAGAACAUAUGUGUAAGUAACUGUGCACAUCUUGACGGUACCUAAUCAGAAAGCAACGGCUAACUACGUG
RNAcentral lists this ribosomal RNA (497 nucleotides) under uncultured bacterium. RNAcentral describes it as "partial 16S ribosomal RNA". It matches the Rfam family "Bacterial small subunit ribosomal RNA", at positions 28 to 507 of the family's 1533-position model. The record is from RNAcentral.